ACUCCUACGGGAGGCAGCAGUGGGGAAUAUUGCACAAUGGGCGCAAGCCUGAUGCAGCCAUGCCGCGUGUGUGAAGAAGGCCUUGGGUUGUAAAGCACUUUCAGUUGUGAGGAAGGUUGUGUGGUUAAUACCAUAUAAUUUGACGUUAGCAACAGAAGAAGCACCGGCUAACUCCGUGCCAGCAGCCGCGGUAAUACGGAGGUGCGAGCGUUAAUCGGAAUUACUGGGCGUAAAGCGUACGCAGGCGGCUAAUUAAGCCAGAUGUGAAAUCCCCGGGCUUAACCUGGAAUGGCAUUUGGAACUGGUUAGCUAGAGUUUGUAGAGGUGUAGAAUUUCAGGUGUAGCGGUGAAAUGCGUAGAGAUCUGAAGGAAUACC
This 376-nucleotide ribosomal RNA is filed under the name uncultured bacterium. RNAcentral's name for it is "bacterial SSU rRNA". It matches the Rfam family "Bacterial small subunit ribosomal RNA", at positions 335 to 710 of the family's 1533-position model. The record is from RNAcentral.